This 492-nucleotide ribosomal RNA is filed under the name uncultured bacterium. RNAcentral's name for it is "partial 16S ribosomal RNA". It matches the Rfam family "Bacterial small subunit ribosomal RNA", at positions 29 to 507 of the family's 1533-position model. The record is from RNAcentral.
AGUGAACGCUGGCGGUAGGCCUAACACAUGCAAGUCGAACGGCAGCACAGUAAGAGCUUGCUCUUACGGGUGGCGAGUGGCGGACGGGUGAGGAAUACAGCGGAAUCUACUUUUUCGUGGGGGAUAACGUAGGGAAACUUACGCUAAUACCGCAUACGACCUACGGGUGAAAGCAUGGGAUCUUCGGACCUUGCGCGAUUGAAUGAGCCGAUGUCGGAUUAGCUAGAUGGCGGGGUAAAGGCCCACCAAGGCGACGAUCCGUAGCUGGUCUGAGAGGAUGAUCAGCCACACUGGAACUGAGACACGGUACAGACUCCUACGGGAGGCAGCAGUGGGGAAUAUUGGACAAUGGGCGCAAGCCUGAUCCAGCCAUACCGCGUGGGUGAAGAAGGCCUUCGGGUUGUAAAGCCCUUUUGUUGGGAAAGAAAAGCAGCAGGUUAAUACCCCGCUGUUCUGACGGUACCCAAAGAAUAAGCACCGGCUAACUUCGUG